AGCCGAGCCGAGCCACCUAAGCCUUCCUUCCUCCACUUCGGUUCACGGUGAGUUUUCGGUAGUAAGGAAUUGACGCUUAAGUUCUCGGGUCCCGCGGCAGGCUUGUUUGGAGGUAGUCCUCCUUUCCUUGGGUUGAUCCGUUGAGCGUGGAUUCGAUCGAGGGGCAUAACCGAGUAUCAGGUAAGGGU
Long non-coding RNA from Cucumis melo (muskmelon), 188 nucleotides. RefSeq lists it as uncharacterized. NCBI's taxonomy places the organism in Eukaryota, Viridiplantae, Streptophyta, Magnoliopsida, Cucurbitales, Cucurbitaceae. The record is from RefSeq and is a predicted model, not a curated record. The transcript has 3 exons.